AGUGGAGCCUGCGGCUUAAUUUGACUCAACACGGGAAACCUCACCAGGCCCGGACACCGGAAGGAUUGACAGAUUGAGAGCUCUUUCUUGAUUCGGUGGGUGGUGGUGCAUGGCCGUUCUUAGUUGGUGGAGCGAUUUGUCUGGUUAAUUCCGAUAACGAACGAGACUCUAGCCUGCUAACUAGGCGUAUUUCGACAUCCCAAAGGCCCGCCGGUUCGGGGUUUCCACCCAGUUCCGCGCGCGGUUUUUACUGUCGGCGUACAAACAAUUCUUCUUAGAGGGACAGGCGGCUCUUAGCCGCACGAGAUUGAGCAAUAACAGGUCUGUGAUGCCCUUAGAUGUUCUGGGCCG
Molecule: ribosomal RNA, 351 nt
Filed under: Massicus raddei
Lineage: Eukaryota; Metazoa; Arthropoda; Insecta; Coleoptera; Cerambycidae
Description: SSU rRNA
Rfam family: Eukaryotic small subunit ribosomal RNA
Source: RNAcentral